UACGGAGGGUGCAAGCGUUAAUCGGAAUUACUGGGCGUAAAGCGCGCGUAGGCGGAUUAAUAAGUCAGAUGUGAAAGCCCUGGGCUUAACCUAGGAACUGCAUUUGAAACUGUUAAUCUUGAGUAUGGUAGAGGUAAGCGGAAUUUCCAGUGUAGCAGUGAAAUGCGUAGAGAUUGGAAGGAAUAUCGAUGGCGAAGGCAGCUUACUGGGCCAAUACUGACGCUGAGGUGCGAAAGCGUGGGUAGCGAACGGG
RNAcentral lists this ribosomal RNA (253 nucleotides) under uncultured bacterium. RNAcentral's name for it is "partial 16S ribosomal RNA". It matches the Rfam family "Bacterial small subunit ribosomal RNA", at positions 524 to 776 of the family's 1533-position model. The record is from RNAcentral.